AUUGAACGCUGGCGGCAUGCUUUACACAUGCAAGUCGAGCGGCAGCGCGGGGGGCAACCCUGGCGGCGAGCGGCGAACGGGUGAGUAAUGCAUCGGAACGUACCCUGGAGUGGGGGAUAACGCCGCGAAAGCGGCGCUAAUACCGCAUAUGCUCUGAGGAGGAAAGUGGGGGGACCGCAAGGCCUCACGCUCUGGGAGCGGCCGAUGUCCGAUUAGCUAGUUGGUGAGGUAAAGGCUUACCAAGGCGACGAUCGGUAGCUGGUCUGAGAGGAUGAUCAGCCACACUGGGACUGAGACACGGCCCAGACUCCUACGGGAGGCAGCAGUGGGGAAUUUUGGACAAUGGGGGCAACCCUGAUCCAGCCAUGCCGCGUGAGUGAAGAAGGCC
This 388-nucleotide ribosomal RNA is filed under the name uncultured bacterium. RNAcentral's name for it is "bacterial SSU rRNA". It matches the Rfam family "Bacterial small subunit ribosomal RNA", at positions 29 to 416 of the family's 1533-position model. The record is from RNAcentral.